AAGCUCGUAGUUGAAUUUCGGGAUCAAUGGAUUGGUCAUGCCGAUGGUAUGUACUGGUCAUAUUGGUUCUCACCUUCUAAGGAACCAUAAUGUCAUUUAUUUGAUGUUGUGGGGAAUUAGGACUGUUACCUUGAAAAAAUUAGAGUGUUUAAAGCAGGCUAACGCUUGAAUACAUUAGCAUGGAAUAAUGAAAUAGGACAUCGCAUUCUAUUUUGUUGGUUUCUAGGAUCGAUGUAAUGAUUAAUAGGGAUAGUUGGGGGCAUUAGUAUUCAAUUGUCAGAGGUGUAAUUCUUGGAUUUAUUGAAGACUAACUACUGCGAAAGCAUUUGCCAAGGAUGUUUUCAUUAAUCAAGAACGAAAGUUAGGGGAUCGAAGACGAUCAGAUACCGUCGUAGUCUUAACCAUAAACUAUGUCGACUAGGGAUCGGAUGAUGUUGAUUUUUUAAUGACUCAUUCGGCACCUUACGGGAAACCAAAGUGUCUGGGUUCCGGGGGGAGUAUGGUCGCAAGGCUGAAACUUAAAGGAAUUGACGGAAGGGCACACCAGGGGUGGAGCCUGCGGCUUAAUUUGACUCAACACGGGGAAACUCACCAGGUCCAGACAUAGUAAGGAUUGACAGAUUGAGAGCUCUUUCUUGAUUCUAUGGGUG
This 650-nucleotide ribosomal RNA is filed under the name uncultured Funneliformis. RNAcentral describes it as "SSU rRNA". It matches the Rfam family "Eukaryotic small subunit ribosomal RNA", at positions 624 to 1276 of the family's 1831-position model. The record is from RNAcentral. Lineage: Eukaryota; Fungi; Glomeromycota; Glomeromycetes; Glomerales; Glomeraceae.